This 2809-nucleotide long non-coding RNA is filed under the name Salmo salar (Atlantic salmon). RNAcentral describes it as "lncRNA (ENSSSAG00000111309.1)". The record is from RNAcentral. Lineage: Eukaryota; Metazoa; Chordata; Actinopteri; Salmoniformes; Salmonidae.
AACAGAUCCUCUCUCAAUGUGACACAUCUUUCCCCCCCCUCGAUAACCCCCAAGGUUCGGGUAUGAAAAUAGAACAUCGUCAUGCUCUGAUCCCAUAUCUCCACAUAGUUUUGCUAACAGGCGCGUGCGCGCGGUGGCUGUGGUUUGAUGUAGUUUUAACAAUUGAAGUUACCUGCUGCAGUAUAUCUCAGAGUUCUGUGCUCAGGUCUUUUCCCGUCAGUUUCUCUCGUUGUGUGUAUCAUACAAUGUGUCUACAUGACAGAGGCAGACCCAUUCAUAUUUAGAGUGUACAGUAGAGGUCUGCGCUCAUGUCCCACCAGAGAUGGGGCUCCAUCUGUGCAAAAAUCCCACCAUUCGAUCCAAUGGAAUCUGUUUUUUAGUCUAUAAAGCCACGUAGCACACUGAAUAUCCCCUGCGAGACAGAUCAAUAUGUCUUAGUGAACAGCAUCCAUCCAUCCCCCCCCCGACAAGUAUAGCGAACAAAAGUCAAUGCAUGGGGUACCUUGGUCCUCACAGCUUAACGUCCAUUUGGUGUGUAUUUUCAGUUAGUUUCCUCUUGAUUGCUAUUCCUCUGCCUCCUCAUACUUUGUUUUCACCAUAUUAAUGUCAAAGUCUCUGCGGUAGUGUGUGGUUUCAUAGCGUAGCAGGCCUAGCCAUUCACAGUGGGAAUGAUUCAAGUUCAAAGGUCAAGUGUGACCAUGAUCUAAGGGCCCUCUGGUUGAAUUCUAUUGUUUUUUUUUAUUCAAAUAUUUUUUUAUUUAGAUGUUUAAGGUUUACCACAUUACAAUGAUUUUGAGAUACAAAGACAAUACUAUACAGUGCAUUAUACAAGUGUUCAGACCCCUUGGCUUUUUCCACAUUUUGUUACGUUACAGCCUUAUUCUAAAAUGGAUUAAAUUGUUUUUUUUCCCUUCAUCAAUCUACACACAAUACCCCAUAAUGACAUCACAAUACCCCAUAAUGACAUCACAAUACCCCAUAAUGACAUCACAAUACCCCAUAAUGACAUCACAAUACCCCAUAAUGACAUCACAAUACCCCAUAAUGAUUAAGCAAAAAUUGUUUUUUUUUAUAAAUGUUUGCAAAUCUAUAUAUCUAAAAAAAAAAUGAAAUAUCACAUUUACAUAAGUAUUCAGACCCUUUACUCAGUACUUUGUUGAAGCACCUUUGGCAGCGAUUACAGCCUCGAGUCUUCUUGGGUAUGACGCUACAAGCUUGGCACACCUGUAUUUGGGGAGUUUCUCCCAUUCUUCUCUGCAGAUCCUCCCUGACCCAGGCCCUUCUCCCCAGAUGGCUCAGUUUGGCUCUUGGAAGAGUCUUUGUGAUUCCAAACUUCUUCCAUUUAAGAAUGAUGGAGGCCACUGUGUUCCUGGGGACCUUCAAUGCUGCAGACAUGUUUUGGUACCCUUCCACAGAUCUGUGUCUCAACACAAUCCUGUCUCGGAGCUCUACGUACAAUUCCUUCGACCCCAUGGCUUGGAUUUCGCUCUGACAUGCACUGUCAACUGUGGGACCUUAUAUAGACAGGUGUGUGUCUUUCCAAAUCAUGUCCAAUCAAUUGAAUUUACCACAGGUGGACUCCAAUCAAGUUGUAGAAACAUCAAGGACGAUCAAUGGAAACAGGAUGCACCUGAGCUCAAUUUAGAGUCUCAUAGCAAAGGGUCUGAAUACUUACAUAAAUAUGGUAUUACUGAUUUGUAUUUGUAAUAAACCUGUUUUUGCUUUGUCAUUAUGGUGUAUUGUGUGUAGAUUGAUGUGAUGAAUUUUUUUUACUUAAUCCAUUUUACAAUAAGGCUGUAAUGUAACAAAAUGCAGAACAAGUCAAGGAGUCUGAAUACUUUCAGAAUACACUGUAGUUAGUGGAGGUUAGUUAGUGGAGGUUAGUUAGCUGAGGUUAGUUAGUGGAGAUUAGUUAGUGGAGAUUAGUUAGUGGAGAUUAGUUAGUGGAGCUUAGUUAGUGGAGAUUAAUUAGUGGAGGUUAGUUAGUUGAGGUUAGUUAGUGGAGGUUAGUUAGUGGAGGUUAGUUAGUGGAGAUUAGUUAGUGGAGGUUAGUUAGUGGAGAUUAGUUAGUGGAGGUUAGUUAGUGGAGGUUAGUUAGUGGAGGUUAGUUAGUGUUGGUUAGUUAGUGGAGAUUAGUUAGUGGAGGUUAGUUAGUUGAGGUUAGUUAGUAGAGAUUAGUUAGUGGAGGUUAGUUAGUGGAGGUUAGUUAGUGGAGGUUAGUUAGUGGAGGUUAGUGGAGGUUAGUUAGCAGAGGUUAGUUAGCGGUGGUUAGUUAGCGGUGGUUAGUUAGUGGAGGUUAGUUAGCAGUGGUUAGUUAGCGGUGGUUAGUUAGUGGAGGUUAGUUAGUGGUGGUUAGUUAGUGGAGGUUAGUGGAGGUUAGUUAGUGGAGGUUAGUUAGUGGAGGUUAGUUAGCGGUGGUUAGUUAGUGGAGGUUAGUUAGUGGAGGUUACUUAGUGGAGGUUACUUUGUGGAGACUAGUUAGUUGAGGUUAGUGGAGGUUACUACAGGUUAGUUAGUGAAUGUUAGUUAGUUGAGGUUACUUAGUGGAGGUUAGUUCAGUUACGUUACAUAGCUCUUUCCUCUCCUCUGUCACGGUGUGUAGUGGUGUGGAAUAAGAUCCAGACAUAUCUCUUUCCUCUGUCACGGUGUGUGGUCAUUUCUAUUCCCUCUUCUGAAUAACAAACAUGGCCGUCAGAAGACAGUGCUGUCCCAAAUGGCACCCUGGUCAGUGCACUAUACAGGGAAGAGGGGACCCUUUGGGAUUCGGACUGUGGCACCCUGGACAGUGCACUAUACAGGGAAGAGGGGG